RNAcentral lists this ribosomal RNA (440 nucleotides) under uncultured Pseudomonas sp. RNAcentral's name for it is "bacterial SSU rRNA". It matches the Rfam family "Bacterial small subunit ribosomal RNA", at positions 358 to 790 of the family's 1533-position model. Lineage: Bacteria; Pseudomonadati; Pseudomonadota; Gammaproteobacteria; Pseudomonadales; Pseudomonadaceae. The record is from RNAcentral.
GGAAUAUUGGACAAUGGGCGAAAGCCUGAUCCAGCCAUGCCGCGUGUGUGAAGAAGGUCUUCGGAUUGUAAAGCACUUUAAGUUGGGAGGAAGGGUAGUAACUUAAUACGUUGCUACUUUGACGUUACCGACAGAAUAAGCACCGGCUAACUUCGUGCCAGCAGCCGCGGUAAUACGAAGGGUGCAAGCGUUAAUCGGAAUUACUGGGCGUAAAGCGCGCGUAGGUGGUUCAGUAAGUUGAAUGUGAAAUCCCCGGGCUCAACCUGGGAACUGCAUCCAAAACUGCUGAGCUAGAGUACGGUAGAGGGUAGUGGAAUUUCCUGUGUAGCGGUGAAAUGCGUAGAUAUAGGAAGGAACACCAGUGGCGAAGGCGACUACCUGGACUGGUACUGACACUGAGGUGCGAAAGCGUGGGGAGCAAACAGGAUUAGAUACCCUUG